UUUUUUUUUUUUUUGUUAUUUAUUGUACAGUUUAGAUAUGGCUAAUUGGUCUUCUAAAUUUCUUUUAUCAUACCUUCUAAAAACUGUCUGUUAUCAUCUAGUCGGUUAUGAUUUAUUGGAUCAUGAAAAACAUACGAAAUACCUGCAAUACUAUUACAAACUUGCAUUCUAGCAUGCAUAUAUAAGAAACAAAUGUAGAUUGGGUCAAAGAGUCACGGCAGUUGGAAGUGUUUUUUUAGUAUUGUCAAAUAAACUACUGACUUUAAUUACAUUAAUUGAAGAACGGAGGUACAUCAUGAAAAGUAUUUAAGAAACAACUAACGAAAAAUUAUAUGUAUCUCAGACUGUUAUAUCUCUUUAAAAAAGCUAUAGGUACCAUUUGUCUAAUUUGUUCUUCAAAUAGCUCAUUUCUUUCCUACAAAUAAAAGAAAUAUUUGAUAUGUAUUUUGGCAGCAAUCCAACAUCAUGCGUUUUCUUAUAAAUAUGAGAAUCAUGCCAUAUCAAACAGUAAACCUGUAAGGAAAUGACAGUUGGUUCAUUAUAUAUCAGUAAAAAGGGUUUGCAACGAAGCUGUAAUGCAUUUCCAUCACUCUGGCGUUUAUCGAGAAUAAAUUUUGAAAUAAAAUGACAUAACAGUAAUGAGAAAAGAAUCACACGCCUUAUUGUUUAUUAACGUCGAGUACGCUGAUACACGGUCCUGUUAAUUGUCAUUUGGCCUGUUUGCUUUUUAUAUAUCUAUAACACAGAUAUAAUACAUCUAUAAUACCACUAGUGCUUUCCUGGAUUGAUUUUGAAUUUGACUUUUUUAAUUUCCUUUGUUAUUCACAUAAUGUAAACAUGGAGAAUUUAAAUGUAUAAUCAGAACUGUUCAUGUGACCGUUGUGUG
Molecule: long non-coding RNA, 886 nt
Filed under: Mytilus galloprovincialis (Mediterranean mussel)
Lineage: Eukaryota; Metazoa; Mollusca; Bivalvia; Mytilida; Mytilidae
Source: RNAcentral